This 253-nucleotide ribosomal RNA is filed under the name uncultured bacterium. RNAcentral describes it as "partial 16S ribosomal RNA". It matches the Rfam family "Bacterial small subunit ribosomal RNA", at positions 524 to 776 of the family's 1533-position model. The record is from RNAcentral.
UACGUAGGGUGCUAGCGUUAAUCGGAAUUACUGGGCGUAAAGCGUGCGCAGGCGGUUUUGUAAGUCUGUCGUGAAAGCCCCGGGCUCAACCUGGGAAUUGCGAUGGAGACUGCAAGGCUUGAAUCUGGCAGAGGGGGGUAGAAUUCCACGUGUAGCAGUGAAAUGCGUAGAGAUGUGGAGGAACACCGAUGGCGAAGGCAGCCCCCUGGGUCAAGAUUGACGCUCAUGCACGAAAGCGUGGGGAGCAAACAGG